UACGGAGGGAGCUAGCGUUGUUCGGAAUUACUGGGCGUAAAGCGCGCGUAGGCGGCUUUGUAAGUUAGAGGUGAAAGCCCGGAGCUCAACUCCGGAACUGCCUUUAAAACUGCAUCGCUUGAAUCCAGGAGAGGUGAGUGGAAUUCCGAGUGUAGAGGUGAAAUUCGUAGAUAUUCGGAAGAACACCAGAAGCAAAGGCGGCCAACUGGCCCGAUACUGACGCUGAGGCGCGAAAGCGUGGGGAGCAAACAGG
This 253-nucleotide ribosomal RNA is filed under the name uncultured bacterium. RNAcentral describes it as "partial 16S ribosomal RNA". It matches the Rfam family "Bacterial small subunit ribosomal RNA", at positions 524 to 776 of the family's 1533-position model. The record is from RNAcentral.